AUACCAUUCGAAUUCGGGUGCUGCCAACUCGUUUUAAAGUAUUUUUAUGUGGUAUUUUUAGAUUUUAGGUACAUUUUAGAAGCAUGUCAAAAUUUAAAAAUAAAAAAAAACGAAUAACAAAAAUAAAAAACCCACGAAACGGAAAGCGUUGUAAAAAUACCAAAAUUCAACAAUUUCCUUUUGGAUUUGUGGAUGGACAACAUUGGAGGGUUUCGUGCAGAUCGCAAGAAUCAUUUUGUCUUACCGAAUAGUGAAAUGAACAGAUUAAGUAUGUCUGCUAGUUAUCUUAUACUGCAAAGGAAAUUUUUCCAGAACUUUUCUCUAAGUUGGAGUUUUUCUUUCUGGUGUAGCUGUCCUAGGAAAUAUAAUUUUGUACUACUAAAAUUAA
Long non-coding RNA from Drosophila albomicans, 388 nucleotides. RefSeq lists it as uncharacterized. The record is from RefSeq and is a predicted model, not a curated record. NCBI's taxonomy places the organism in Eukaryota, Metazoa, Arthropoda, Insecta, Diptera, Drosophilidae. The transcript has 2 exons.